UCGAGAAUUUUUCUCAAUGGGCGAAAGCUUGAAGGAGCGACGCCGCGUGGGGGAUGAAGGGCUUCGGCUCGUAAACCCCUGUCAUUUGCGAACAAACCUUCUCAUAUAAUACAUGGGAAGCUGAUAGUAGCGAAAGAGGAAGGGACGGCUAACUCUGUGCCAGCAGCCGCGGUAAUACAGAGGUCCCAAGCGUUGUUCGGAUUCACUGGGCGUAAAGGGUGCGUAGGUGGUAUGGUAAGUUCGAUGUGAAAGCUCCGAGCUCAACUCGGAAAUGGCAUUGAAUACUAUUGUACUUGAGGGUCGGAGGGGAGACUGGAAUUCUCGGUGUAGCGGUGAAAUGCGUAGAUAUCGAGAGGAACACCAGUGGCGAAAGCGAGUCUCUGGACGACACCUGACACUGAGGCACGAAAGCUAGGGGAGCAAACAGG
Molecule: ribosomal RNA, 428 nt
Filed under: uncultured bacterium
Lineage: Bacteria
Description: bacterial SSU rRNA
Rfam family: Bacterial small subunit ribosomal RNA
Source: RNAcentral